UUCAAAUUCAAAUUUUAUUUGUCACGUACACAGUCAUACACAGUACGAUAUGUAGUGAAAUGCUUGGACAACUGCUCGUGACCUAAAGAAAACAAAAAAGGAAAGGCUAUGAAUAAGAUAGGAAAUAAAUAUGAAAAAUUAAAAAGGGUAAAUUUAACUAGGAAGGAAUAGAAUAUAAAUUAAGGUUAAAAAUGAAAUAACUGUACAACACAAAUUAGAAUGAAGGGUAAAUUUAACUGGGAAGAAUAAGAUAAAGAUAAAUAUAUAAAUUAAAGUUAAAAAUGAAAUAACUGUACAACACAAAUUAGAAUGAAGGGUAAAUUUAACUGGGAAGAAUAAGAUAAAGAUAAAUAUAUAAAUUAAAGUUAAAAAUGAAAUAACUGUACAACACAAAUUAGAAUGAAGGGUAAAUUUAACUGGGAAGAAUAAGAUAAAGAUAAAU
Molecule: long non-coding RNA, 442 nt
Organism: Astatotilapia calliptera (eastern happy)
Lineage: Eukaryota; Metazoa; Chordata; Actinopteri; Cichliformes; Cichlidae
Source: Ensembl